RNAcentral lists this ribosomal RNA (115 nucleotides) under Prolemur simus (greater bamboo lemur). The record is from RNAcentral. Lineage: Eukaryota; Metazoa; Chordata; Mammalia; Primates; Lemuridae.
GUCUAUGGCCACACCACCCUGGAUGCUCCUGAUCUCAUCUGAUCUCAGACACUAAGCAGGGCUGGGCCUGGGUAGUACUUGGAUGGGAGGGAGAAAGACCUCGUUCAUAUAUAUA